Molecule: ribosomal RNA, 434 nt
Filed under: uncultured bacterium
Lineage: Bacteria
Description: partial 16S ribosomal RNA
Rfam family: Bacterial small subunit ribosomal RNA
Source: RNAcentral
AGCGAACGCUGGCGGCAGGCCUAACACAUGCAAGUCGAACGAACCUUUCGGGGUUAGUGGCGGACGGGUGAGUAACACGUGGGAACGUGCCUUUAGGUUCGGAAUAACUCAGGGAAACUUGUGCUAAUACCGAAUGUGCCCUUCGGGGGAAAGAUUAAUCGCCUUUAGAGCGGCCCGCGUCUGAUUAGCUAGUUGGUUGAGGUAAUGGCUCACCAAGGCGACGAUCAGUAGCUGGUCUGAGAGGAUGAUCAGCCACAUUGGGACUGAGACACGGCCCAAACUCCUACGGGAGGCAGCAGUGGGGAAUCUUGCGCAAUGGGCGAAAGCCUGACGCAGCGAUGCCGCGUGAAUGAUGAAGGUCUUAGGAUUGUAAAAUUCUUUCACCGGGGACGAUAAUGACGGUACCCGGAGAAGAAGCCCCGGCUAACUUCGUG